Molecule: long non-coding RNA, 6591 nt
Filed under: Sus scrofa (pig)
Lineage: Eukaryota; Metazoa; Chordata; Mammalia; Artiodactyla; Suidae
Description: lncRNA (ENSSSCG00015078976.1)
Source: RNAcentral
UUUUUUUUUUUUUUUGUCUUUUUGCCAUUUCUUGGGGCCACUUCCGCGGCAUAUGGAGGUUCCCAGGCUAGGGGUCCAAUCGGAGCUGUAGCCGCCGGCCUACACCACAGCCACAGCAACGUGGGAUCUGAAUCGCGUCUGCAACCUACACCACAGCUCACAGAAGCGCUGGAUCCUUAACCCUCGGAGCAUGGCCAGGGAUUGAACCCGCAACCUCAUGGUUCCAAGUCGGAUUUGUGAACCACUGCACCAUGACAGGAACUCCUGAAAUGUAUUUUUAAAAACCAACACGCGAGAGGACAGUGUGCCCGCCCAGGAGAUAAGGCUGCUGCAGGGACAAGAGGAGAAACAAUAGUGAACGGGUCUUGCUCCUCGAUCACGUGUUUGUGUUCAAACCCCAUUUUCCCUCCCGUCUUCGCGAGAGUGGCGCCCCAACAGCCGUGCAUGCCGCUGUUGUCCCCAGGACCAGCCUCGCAUCCCUCAGGGGCAGAGAUAGGCGCUGGCUCUGCCUCAGACGCAGCUGCCGAAGCCCCAAGACAGUGGGGCCUCUGGGAAGCUCCCUCUGUCCCAUCAGGCUGGCCAAGUUCAGGACUAGCAGGAGGCAGGGCUGCAGGGCGAGAAGGAGCAUCCACUCCCCAGCAUUUCUCAACCAGGAGGGACGAGGCCGACAGCAGGUGGCUCUGAAGGAUCAGAGAAACAAAGUUUCAAAGUAUAUGCAAGCACUGCAGGAAGUGACAGUGUUAAUGAGGGCCCCCAAGUGGUGUGGGCACACUCGUGUGUGUGCGUGUUUGCACACGUGUGUGAGGAUGUGUGUGUGCCCUGGUGUACAUAUGUGCACUGCUGCCGUCCAUGUGGGCGCGUGUCCACGGGUGCGUGUGUGCCGGUGCUGGUGAGCACACAUCUGUGUGGGCACGCCCGAGCACCUGCAUGCCGGUGUUCACUAGCAUGCACAUACAUACACACACAUGCCCCGUGUUGGCGGGGGCUGAGGCCGUGAGAGCCCAGCUCUGCGGGGCAGCCCUACAGCGCCCUCCUCAUAAGGACUCUUAGAGGACCAACAGCAGGCAAGGCAGUUGGUUCAGAAUCAAAUUAUAGCCAAAUCACCCACUUGAGUUCACGCUGGCUCAGGUGCCAUGGCCCCUUUCCCGCACGUGGGCACGGCCUGCCGCACAAGCCCUCAGAUGUGGUCGGGAGAGGAGGGCUGACACCGAGGUGCAGAGGUGACACACGCACCUCCAGCCUCGGGGUUCUCUGCUCUUGGGAAAUGCAGGCUCCCACUCAGAACCAGGUGCACUGGGAGGGGACCUGGGGGUGACUUUCCCAGCAGGGGAAAGACAAGAGCCUGAGAAAGAGAGGCAGCCGGUCCAGGGGCAGAGAGUCCCUGAGGGCAGAGCUUGGCUAGGAGACCCGCAUCCUGUCUUCUGUCCCACAGAAGCUGGUGCUCAGCUGAGCCCGAAGCAGGCAGGUGCAGCCUCCUGGGUCCAGAAGAUGCUCCUUGUCCCCAGGCGCCAGCACCAGACGCGUGGGAGCAUCGAGGCUCAGCUCAAGGCUCGGGGCCAAGGCAGGACGAGCAGCCAGCCCCAGGAGUGGUCCCCGGGAGGCAGGCGUUGAGCAAGGUGGCAGAGGGCACAUGUGCCCUGCCCCCUGGGGGGGUGUCCUUAUCCUGAAGCCCCAGCUGAGGUCUCAGGAUGAGCGGGGUGAACAGGAGCUAUGGGCGCCUGGAGGGAGCUCGUCUCAGGCAACGUCAAGGUUAAAAGUCAGAUCAUUGUGCCGCCUGAAGGCUUUUCCUAUUUCCCUCCCAGGUUCCCAGAGAAGAAAUGAUUUCUCGAAUGAAGCGGGGGGGUAGGGCUGGCAGGGGUCCUGCUGGGGUCUGUUCUGUGGAUCCCUGAGCCCCUCCAUCCUCCUGGGGAUCCCUGAGCGCCCCCAUCCUGCUCCAGCUGCCUUUACAAAGAGCAUCUCAGAUUCCCAAGCCACAUACUCUCCAGCCGGAUGAUGAGUUUCCCAAAGAACUGUCAUCACACCACGUGACCUCCAGAAACUGACCCCACACCUAAGGACGAUCGAAAGUGGAGACAGGCGUCUACCCUCAGCCACCGGGCUGUGAUCCCUGCCAUCUCAGCUGCUGUGCCGGCCGCGCAGGGGAGGAGCCCCAGCCAUCAGCCCAGGAGGACGGAGUGCACAGAGCAGGUAGUGUGGGCUGUCGAGGGGGCCCCAGGGAGAAACACGAGACGUGUUUCUAGUCCAGAAAGUACUAGAACGUGCCCUUUAGGAGAGCACGUGGUCCCCAUGAUGUUUCUUUUCAAACCAGCCUACGAAACUUUACUACACGCCUACACACCUCCUCCAGGCUUCCCAGGGCAGGCCUCCCGCUGCCGCUAAGAGAUGAGGAAACGCCGUUUGCCACGGUAAGUACAGUGAAUUGAGGGCCACAGCCUGGCCUUGUCCGAUCACUCAGCUUGGCCCCCAGAGACAGAGCAGCACACAGCCACCAGCAGCAGAAGCCGAAACUCAUUCCCUAAGUGUGCCAAAACCAGGUGCAACCCACUCAGGACUGGCCUGUGAGAAUUAACUGCAAACAGGGUGUUUCAGAAAGGGACCCGGUGUUCCAGGGAGACAAGAUGUUCCGGGGAGGGACCGGGUGUUCCAGCGAGAGACCAGGUGUUCCAGGGAGGAACCAGAUGUUCCAGGGAGGGACCAGGUGUUCCAGGGGGAGACCAGGUGUUCCAGGGAGAGACCAGGUUGUUUCAGGGAGAGACCAGGUGUGCCAGGGAGGAACCAGAUGUUCCACGGAGGGACCAAGUGUUUCAGGGAGAGCCCAGGUGUUCCAGGGAGAGACCAGGUGUGCCAGGGACGGCCCAGGUGUUCCAGGGAGGGACCAAGUGUUUCAGGGAGAGCCCAGGUGUUCCAGGGAGAGACCAGGUGUUCCAGGGAGAGACCAGGUGUUCCAGGGAGAGACCAGGUGUUCCAGGGACGGACCAGGUGUUUCAGGGAGAGACCAGGUGUUCCAGGGAGAGACCAGGUGUUCCAGGGAGGGACCAGGUGUUCCAGGGAGAGACCAGGUGUUCCAGGGGGAGACCAGGUGUUCCAGGGAGAGACCAGGUGUUCCAGGGAGGGACCAGGUGUUCCAGGGAGGGACCAGAUGUUCCAGGGAGGACCAGGUGUUCCAGAGGGACCAGGUGUUCUAGGGAGGGACCAGAUGUUCCAGGGAGGACCAGGUGUUUCAUGGAGGGACCAGGUGUUCCAGGGAGGGACUGGUUGUUCCGGGGAGAAACCAGGUGUUGGGGUUUGUUCGGGGGGUGUUCCACAGGAAGAUGUUCCAAGGAGGGACUGAGUUGGACUGAGGAAGGAUUCGCAUGAGGUUCUGGGCCCUAAAUGUCCUUCCUUCCUUUCCCCAUCCUAUUGGUGGUCAAGGGGAACCUUGAGGCCAGCCCCCGCGCAGCACAACGCUUCUGGUCUGUCAGCAGAGUCCACCUGCGCUGCCAUCAGCAGCAUCACCCCUGCUGUUCUAAGGAAAGAACCAGAAUAUAUCCUCAAUCCCUGGAGAAUGGCUGUUUUCAGGCAUUUGACCCAGUGCCAGAGAUAAGCAACGUGAAAAACUUUGUAAUAAUUCCCACUGGAAAAAAAAAUAAGUGCCUAUGAUCUGUGUAAUAGCUCCAUAAGUUGGAAACAGAGUAUCAAAAUCAAUAAUACUUAACCCUUGGAUAUAUUUAUAUUUAUAAAAUGGUUUAAAAUAUUUUACUUGGCAUUGUCAUUUGAGCUUCAGCACAGCCCUGAUUGAGCCUCCACAUUUACCAGACGAAGAAAUGUUUCCUCGGAGAGGUUUCGUAGUGCCACUCCCGCGGCACACCCGCUGCUGGGAGACAGGUGGUUAUUGCAAAACGAAGCCUGCUGCUCACAUGCAUCCACCGAUCACACGCCUCGAUUCACCCGAAGGAGCUGAAAACUCACGUCCUCACAAAACCACACACACACCGCAGCUUCAUCCAUCAUCACAGCAACCUGGAAGCAACCAAGGUGUCCUUCAGUGGGUGAUGGACAUGCCAACGUGGUGCAUGCAGACAGCGGACUGUUAGCGCUAAAGAGAAACACGCCGAGCCAUGAAAAGACAGGCGGGAACGAAAAAACGUAACACCGAGUGAACAUCGUACUGAGAGAAGGAAUGCGAUCUGGAAAGGGCUACAGACGGUACGAUCCCACCCAGAUGACACUCUGGGAAAACAGUCAAACGAGCCGUGGUUGCCAGGGACUGGCAGGAGGGGAGGGCGGGUGGGCACAGGGCAUUUUUAGGGCAGCGAGACUCUUCUGCAGAAACCCAUAAUGGUGGACAUGGGACACUGCACAGCUGUCAAGACCCCAGAAUGUACGAAACAAGUUCGUCCUAACGUAAACCAUGUUGGUUGAUAAUCACGUAGCAACAUUGACUCAUCAUUUGCAAAAGCCGGAGGCUGAUCAUCGGGAAACCCUUCUGGAGGCAGAGGCGGGGGGACGAGUGGUUCUGCUCAGCCUUCCUGAGAAUCUAAAACUGCUGGUAAAAAUGAAAUCCAUUCAUUAAAAAACCUGUUUUCCUCUGUUUGGCCUCCUCCAUGAAGUGCUCUCUCUGUGUGUCCCAAAUGUCUCAAACUCCCUCCAAACUAAGUCGCCGUCCAACCCCGUGUGACUGGACCACUAGGCACACUGGACCGCCCCCCAGCCUGUUGUGACAGUCAGUGCUUGAGAAGGAACAGGGUGCUAGAACCGGGCUGGGACACUGGACCCCAAGUCUCACUGAGCCUGCCUUGCCAGCAGGAGCGCCCCUCUCUCUCCCGCUGAAGCACCUGUAAUCCCCCGGGGAAGCCUUGCAGCCCUGCGGACCCUCCCGGGACACAGCCCACCACUGCCCCGAGCAUCUCGCCCUAAGCAUCUCACCCCAGCAUCUCGCCCCAGCAUCUCGCCCGGCACCUGGACUGAAGGCCCAGAGGCUGGGGUUCAAAGCACGGCCAGGAGAGUGUGCAGAGCACGUGGAAGAACGGCAGGAGUUUGCCAGUUUGCAGCAGCAGAAACACAGAUGAGGAUGGGGCUUGCGGAGGCCGGAUCAGGUGGAAUGAACAGAGACUGGCUGAUUUCUGCUGUGGGCACCCAAGCGCAGGUUCCCCACCCAGCAGCUCAACAGUCUCCACCAACGGGCAACAUAUAAACACGGUCACCAGUGUGGAGUGGGGUCUACCUGACAUCAAGAGCAAAGGCCAGAACCUCCUCGUCACCUUCCAGAGGCACUUGUCAGAGGCUUAGAGAGAUGGGCACAACAGACCUUCCAGGGGCCCCAGCAGGGUCCAGAAGGCACGCGAAAAAAGUUCACGGGGUCCCAGCAUCCUUGUGGAAUGCGCGGUGACGCCCCGAAUGUCAGGAAUACAUCGGGACCUGCCUCCAUCCACCCGGAACCCCAGCAUGUAUCCAGAUGACAAGUCCUGGGGAGGCAGGGGCCAAGUGGGGACACGUAAGUGCCUUGUGGUCACCACACAGCAGUGAUCAGAAGAGAAGGCCCCCAGGGCACGAGCUGUAGGAAGGUCCCAGAGCUGCAGGCGGGUGCUCUGCCUGCAAGCACGGAUCUGCCCAAACAGGUCGCCCUCUGCCCAACACAAGUCUGACUGGACCAUGGGAACAGUCACAGCCCCCCACCAACUGCCAGUGGGAACUCCAUCUCACAGAUCAGCGCCCCUCGAAUGGGGGCGUGGCAGGCCGCUGUGAGAGACUCUGUCACAAAGCCACACGCUCGUCACUUCACCUUCCCCUGGUCUUAUAACAGGGCGGCCUGCGUGGGGGCAAAGGGCAUCUUCAGACCCCUCAGUGAUCACUGGACCCCGGCUCUCAAGGACACCAACAGAGACCCAGAUGUCACCAUGGUCCACCAGCCACACGGGGCUCAUGGGACAGGUGCUCCAGCCGUCCUGUGGGUGUCCCCCAGUUCUGGAAUGCAUAGCUGGAACGGGGCACAGCCAGUGCGGCCCCACCUGGUUCCCUGACCUGCAGCCUGAGGCUCUCACCAAUGCCACCGACACAGUCACAGACCAACUGCAACACCAGAUCCUGGGGGGACAGCAGAGGCUGACAGGUGCCACCAUCGAGGACUGGAAAGACCCGGGCUGAUCCCACAGCCCUCCCCGUCCUGUCUGCAGAGACGCUAGACAGGUGGCCGCCUGCUGCAGGUGCGGUUCCUCUGCUGGAGCAGGGGGCACACCCGGUACCAGCCCCACAGCUCUACCUGCAAAUGCUGCCCCACCAGGAGCGGCCAUCAGCGGCACAGCCCUCGUCCUGGUCUGCUGCUCAGGGACCUGAGGACACUGAGGACACUGUGCUGACUGGCCCUGGUGAGCAGGAGGAGCCAGGGCCCACACCCAUCGGAAAGACACGGCUCAGAGGGGCAGUGGCAGGCAGGGCACUGCUGGAGGCAGGGACCGGUGGGGGGGCGGGGGUCACAGGCCGAGCCUGUGGACUCUGGAAUAAACAGCUGAUGUUCUCUGCGGGAAACUCCUCCCCUUUUAAGGAACUGCUCCUGGCCUGUGACUACACCCUUGACCGUGGGCCACUGAGGAUCCAGGAAGCUGGACUGGAACA